UCCGAGUUGACCCCGGCAGUCCCCUCAGAGUGCCCGGCAUGACCCGGUAGCAACAAAGGGCAAGGGUUGCGCUCGUUGCGGGACUUAACCCAACAUCUCACGACACGAGCUGACGACAGCCAUGCAGCACCUGUGCAUCAGCCCCGAAGGGAAGACAGCUUUCACUGCCGGUCUAAUGCAUGUCAAACCCAGGUAAGGUUCUUCGCGUUGCGUCGAAUUAAACCACAUAAUCCACCGCUUGUGCGGGUCCCCGUCAAUUCCUUUGAGUUUUAACCUUGCGGCCGUACUCCCCAGGCGGUCGACUUCACGCGUUAGCUUCGUUACUGAGAGUGUCAAACCCCCAACAACCAGUCGACAUCGUUUAGGGCGUGGACUAC
This 377-nucleotide unclassified non-coding RNA is filed under the name uncultured bacterium. RNAcentral's name for it is "contains 16S-23S intergenic spacer region". The record is from RNAcentral.